Molecule: long non-coding RNA, 420 nt
Filed under: Elaeis guineensis (African oil palm)
Lineage: Eukaryota; Viridiplantae; Streptophyta; Magnoliopsida; Arecales; Arecaceae
Description: long non-coding RNA (EGUI_LNC023517)
Source: RNAcentral
UCCUCUAAAUCAACCUCGCUCUCAGACAAUGAAGGAAGACAUACUUCGUCAACUCAUCCUCCAACUCACAGACUGAAUAGGCAGCCAGAACCUCCAUGUCGUUGUCCCUAAGAAGCGUACAUGUCAGAAGUUGAUCUCAAGCAACCUUCCAAAGAAAUAAUCUGACUCUAGGAUAGACAACCACUCUCUAGAUCCAAGCGGUCUCGAUCCUCCUAUCUAGCACUUAUUUGCUCAUCUCGAUGAGAUCCCUCACAGAAACCUUAAUGCAAUAUGAUCGGCUCCACACCCUCAAGUCCUAGCUCUAAUGGAGUGGAAUCGAGAUAGCAAGAAUCCUAUCAAUGAGCUGAUCGUCAAAGAGACAGAUGACAUCCUGCACCCUCUGGCCCCCAUCAUCAACAGUAGUCAAGUCACAAACCCACA